GCCCGGGCUCACCACCCCACAGGGUGAAAACUGUGACCAGCUUCUCCCCAGGAGAAGCCAGCUCGGAGGUGGAGUGACAAGUGUGGGACUUUGGUGACAAGUGUGGGACUUUGGUGACAAGUGGGGGACUUCAGGUGACAAGCCUUCUCUUUGAUGUCUGUGAAAAGGGUGCCCAGGAUAGAGGGACAGCCACCAAGACUUACCCAGCAGCUGGGACACCGAGCCACCUCCAACCCAGAGCUGGCCCCUCAGGGAGCUAGGGCAUGGAGGCCCCCACAGGAGUGGAUGGUGGCAGCAUCACCCAGCGGUCAAGUGCUCAUGCCUUGGCCUGCGACUCUGUUGGGUUCAAGUGCAGCCUUAUUAGUACUGAACUGACUGGCUUUGGGCAGGGUAGCUCCCCUGUCUGGACCUCAGUUUCUUGAUCUGUAAAAUGGAGGUAACAAUGCACACUGGGCCCUGCCUCGCGGGAUGAGGAUGUAACGAGAGUGUUAACGGGCAUGCAGAAGUUAGUAGAUGCUUGACAAAUGGCAAGGCUUGGCAGACCACAGCUGUCAUGGCUUCCUAGCAAGCAGGCUCUGGUACUGAGCAGACGCAUCGCAAAGCAACCGGAGAAUCAAGGAAGGCUUUGGAGCAGGGGCCGGUGAACGCAGCUGUCUGUGGAAGAGCCCUGCUUUGAGAGCCAAGAGCCCAGCUCAGUUCCUCUGAGCUGUGAGAACCAAAACACCACAAGGUGGGAGGCUUACAAACGGUCACUUAUCUCCCACAGUCCUGGAGGCUGGGAUGUCCCAGGCCAAGGUGGAGCAGGUUCGGGGUCUGGUGAGGGCCCGCUUUCUGCUUCAGAGCCAGCACCCUCUUCCUGUGCCCACACAGGUGGCAGAGGCAAGCAAACACCUGCUGGCCUCCAUCACGAGGACACGGAUCUCACUCACCCCAUGACCUCAUCACCCCCAGCCUCCUACUGCCUGACACCAGCCUUGGAGUCUGGGGUUUCACCAUAUGAAUUUGGGGUUGCACAGACUUUCAGACCAUAGCACAGGUGCUGGAGACAUGGCAGGGGAUACGCUGUGGCCCUGCUGUCACGGUGCCCAUGGGGCUGGGAAGACUACUGCGUCACACGCUUGGAGCCCAGCCCAGCUCUGUGAGAGGUUGCCCGGAGGCCUGACAGCAUUUAACCUAGACCCCUGGCCCUGGGAAAGUCUCUUGGGGCAGGCCAUAUCACAGCCCGGUUCCUUUACUGCAGGAAGCUGGACGCCCAGGACAGCCAAGCUGCUGCUGCAAGAUGCGUUGAUCUCAACAAAAGUCCCAUCUCCUGGGCUCCCUUUCCGCCCACAAGCCAUCAGUGUUGCAGACUACUGCUCAGCCCAGAGUGGCAUAGAUGUCCUCUCCGUGGCGGAGCUGUGGCUUCCAUGCAAAGUUCACCACGGAAAAUGUGAUGCCUAAUACAUCGGAGCCUUCUCUGCUUUAAGUCAUUUUUAAACCGCAAUCGCUGCACACAAUAUAAUUAUUACAAACUGGUCAUUUGUAACAGAGAAAUCUCAUUAAGAUGAUUUCAUGCUGGAAAGCAGGUGGACGGGGGAGGCGAGGGGGUGGCGGUGGCGGUGACAGGCAGGGGGCUGGGGGAGAGGGAAGCUUGAGGAAGGCUUGGAGAGGGCUGGGGGAUGCUCUUAAUUACAGACUGAUUAUUUCUGGUGAUUGAGCAGGUAAUAUAAUCAGCUCAAUGUUUUCAGGCCAGAGCGGAUGGAGCAGGGACAGGCGGGGUGAUAAGGAGUGAGGGAUCUUCCAGACGGGACAAGCAGCAGAGGGGUUGGGGCAGUAGGCUUCCUGCGUCAGACCUUUGGCUGGCCCCUGGCCUGGGGAGGUGGCCACAGAGCUCCUGUAUCACCUGUGGAGGGAACAGACUGUGUGGCCCUGGGACAGCUGUGGUCACUCGUCACAGCGGCUGGACGCAAGGCUCAGAACUACAGGACCUGGGUUCAAGAUUCCAGCUCUGAUCCUGGAAGCUGGAGACUGGAGAAUCUGUCUGCCCAGCACACCCACGCCUGGGCCUCCCAAGGGUGGGAUGGGCACCAUCCCCACCGCACCAGCCCUGCAGACCUGCGGAAGCCUCACCUGCGACCACGCCUACGUAGACCACUUCAUCUGGCACCAAGCGGGCCCUGGAGAAUCCGUCAGAUUUAAAUGUUCUGACAAAGAUCAUGAGAUGUGGAAAGCAGGGGUUGGGACAAGAUGGUGAAUCCCUGUCCUGGGAGGACAUUACAAAUAAGAGAAGAGACCUUCUGUACCAGGAGACAGGUCCAGAUCCGAGGUGGGGAGGGGAGCAGGGAGGCUCGGCUCUGCACAGAGCCACGUGCGCUAGGCGCCUGGCCACGGCUGUGCAGCCGGUGCUGGGCUCUCGGCAGGUCUAUGGGGUCAGCAUCUUAGGAUUUUGACCCCUGUUCCU
This is a long non-coding RNA of Oryctolagus cuniculus (rabbit), 2440 nucleotides long. NCBI's taxonomy places the organism in Eukaryota, Metazoa, Chordata, Mammalia, Lagomorpha, Leporidae. The record is from Ensembl.